This 430-nucleotide ribosomal RNA is filed under the name Timema knulli. RNAcentral's name for it is "partial 16S ribosomal RNA". It matches the Rfam family "Bacterial large subunit ribosomal RNA", at positions 1926 to 2548 of the family's 2925-position model. The record is from RNAcentral. Lineage: Eukaryota; Metazoa; Arthropoda; Insecta; Phasmatodea; Timematidae.
AAUGGCCGCGGUAUUUUGACCGUGCAAAGGUAGCAUAAUAAAUUGUCUACUAAAUGUGGACUAGAAUGAAAGGUUUGACGAGGUAUAAACUGUCUCUUUUGUAUUUAUAUUAGAACUUGAAUUUUAAGUUAAAAUGCUUUAAAUUUUAUUGUAGGACGAGAAGACCCUAUAGAGUUUUAUGUUAAUAGGUUUAAUUUAUAUUAGGAUUUUUUAAUUACAUUAAUUUUAUAUACAUUUUGUUGGGGUUGGGGUGACAGGAAGAUUAUCAUAACUCUUUUUUUUUAUUUACAUUAAUUAGUGAUUUUUUUAGUUGAUCCAGAUAUUCUGAUUAUAAGAUUAAAUUACCUUAGGGAUAACAGCGUAAUAUUUUUUGAGAGUUCUUAUCGACAAGAAAGAUUGCGACCUCGAUGUUGGAUUAAGGUUAAAUUUU